UACGUAGGGUGCGAGCGUUGUCCGGAAUUACUGGGCGUAAAGAGCUCGUAGGUGGUUUGUCGCGUUGUUCGUGAAAACUCACAGCUCAACUGUGGGCGUGCGGGCGAUACGGGGCAGACUGGAGUACUGCAGGGGGAGACUGGAAUUCCUGGUGUGGCGGUGGAAUGCGCAGAUAUCAGGAGGAACACCGGUGGCGAAGGCGGGUCUCUGGGCAGUAACUGACGCUGAGGAGCGAAAGCGUGGGGAGCGAACAGG
Molecule: ribosomal RNA, 255 nt
Filed under: uncultured bacterium
Lineage: Bacteria
Description: partial 16S ribosomal RNA
Rfam family: Bacterial small subunit ribosomal RNA
Source: RNAcentral